RNAcentral lists this ribosomal RNA (420 nucleotides) under uncultured Nitrososphaerota archaeon. RNAcentral's name for it is "bacterial SSU rRNA". It matches the Rfam family "Archaeal small subunit ribosomal RNA", at positions 459 to 879 of the family's 1478-position model. Lineage: Archaea; Thermoproteati; Nitrososphaerota. The record is from RNAcentral.
CAGCCGCCGCGGUAACACCAGCCCCUCGAGUGGUGGGGAUGAUUAUUGGGCCUAAAGCAUCCGUAGCCUGCUUUGCCAGUUUUCGGUUAAAUCCAUACGCUCAACGUAUGGGCUGCCGGGAAUACUACAAAGCUAGGGAGUGGGAGAGGUAGACGGUACUCGGUAGGAAGGGGUAAAAUCCUUUGAUCUAUUGGUGACCACCUGUGGCGAAGGCGGUCUACCAGAACACGUCCGACGGUGAGGGAUGAAAGCUGGGGGAGCAAACCGGAUUAGAUACCCGGGUAGUCCCAGCUGUAAACUAUGCAAACUCAGUGAUGCAUUGGCUUGAUGCCAAUGCAGUGCUGCAGGGAAGCCGUUAAGUUUGCCGCCUGGGAAGUACGUACGCAAGUAUGAAACUUAAAGGAAUUGGCGGGGGAGCAC